AUGAUGAGGUCCACUAGUCACGGCGACUUGUACCCGUUCUUCGGCAACUCCGACGUCCAGCAUGCUCUCUCCGUCGUCGACACCCUGUGGCACCUCCGCCUAGGCCACCCCAGCAAUAACUCCAUCUCCAUUUUAGCUAGAGAUUUCCUUCCAUCUUGUAACAAUAACAUGCCCAAAACUACUGUUUGUGCGUCAUGUCAAUUAGGCAAGCAUCCUAGGCUGCCAUUUUCUUCCUCUCUUUCUGUAACAUCAGCACCUUUCCAAUUAUUACAUUGCGAUUUAUGGACUUCUCCCGUAUGUAGUUUU
This 306-nucleotide ribosomal RNA is filed under the name Triticum aestivum (bread wheat). RNAcentral's name for it is "partial small subunit ribosomal RNA". Lineage: Eukaryota; Viridiplantae; Streptophyta; Magnoliopsida; Poales; Poaceae. The record is from RNAcentral.